Pelobates cultripes (western spadefoot toad) is the source of this 825-nucleotide non-coding RNA. Lineage: Eukaryota; Metazoa; Chordata; Amphibia; Anura; Pelobatidae. The record is from the annotation of a GenBank genome assembly.
GCACAAAUAUUUCCAAAGCCUUAAAAACUUACCUUUCAUUAGCUGCAGAACUGGUCUCUGCAGCUAGUGAAAAUCCACUCUGUGACCCCCACACAAAGGAGCUUUGACACUGUGUAUGUAACUUACUAAGCCAAGGGAGGCCUGGCCAAGGGACCAACGUGUCUGUGUUUAGCACACAGUGUGUUCUAUGUGUGUGUGUGGAUACCAGAUGCAAAUGUUGCCCAAAAAUUAUAAUACUAGCCUCUUAGAGAGUGUUCCACAUCAACACACAUUUUAAAAACUAUAUAUCGAGGGGAAACAGUGGUAUCCUAGCUCGGAUCGGGAUCGUAUAUAUGCAGUGUUAGCUCCUGACAAACCUGUCCUGAGGCCAAGCGACAUUAUAAGGGACCAUUGCAGAUUCUUUUUUUUUUUUUAAGAUUGCUCAGCAACUUUAUUGGACUGAAAAUCCACCCUCCAGGACCCACAGUUUUAUUGAGGGCCAAAAAGAGAUGGAACACCAAUGACAGGACCAGCUAUGAUCUCAUCAAGAUGGCAGCUAUACUUCCGUGCAAACACCUCUCCAACACGGUCUUCAAAUUAGCUCUGCUAUGCCCACCUACAAAAGAUCUAUUGGUAACCAAGAAGAAUCUCCAAGGCAUGUUACACUCUCCACCAACAACAAUAAAGGCUGAGUUUAAGAGCGGUAAUGAGAGUGUAUAGAUCAUCUAGAGGCCAAAAUGGAUGGGAACAGCUCACAACAAACUGUUUGGUAAGUUUACUUCACUGGGAGGGAAUCUUACUCACAAAGCUUAAAAAGACAGCAGACAUAGUCCUGCAGGAAUAGUA